GCGCAUUUCGUUUAUCUUGAAGAUCGAAUAAUAUUCGUAAUGAGUCACACCAAACAUUGGUGUGAAAUUUAUUACUGGGACGUUGAACGUGCAUAAAUCAACUAAGAAAUGUAAACAUACGGUAUGCUAAGUAUUAGCACUUUUCAUCGGUUCACGACUUUUGGACAAAGAUACGAGAUACCGGCAUAAUGAUUCGAGCUCACAUGUACAAAUAUUAUAAAUUUCGCCUAUGAUCCAUUUAAAUGUUUAAUCGAAACAAAUGCGACAGGACGUGAUUUCUGGACAAAAGGAUUAAGUUACGUAUUAUUAAUAGGUCAAUGGCUGUUUCGAUAAAUCUCAUAGUAUGGAAACGUGGAAUGUUCAAAAGGAGUAUACCAAGGAAAUUACAUCUUGGGAGGAGUUUAUAGUAUCUUGAAAUAUUAAAAUAUUUUCUGGUGAGAAACAGCCGUGGGUCCAUGACUUUCCUCCUACAACUCUUUAUUACACCUUCAUGUUUAUUCGUUGAAAUAAGAUUAUAUACCCAAGGAAAACUAAAAAAAAAUAUUAGAAAGUGAUGAGGCGAGACUCCAUAUACCUAGAAGCAUUUCCCCUUGACUGCACACAACCGAGAUGUGUAUCUGGAAAAGGGAGAACCAGGAAGAGUCGACCAUUACUGGAGGGUGAGAGUUAGGGAGAGACAAG
This is a long non-coding RNA of Apis laboriosa (Himalayan honeybee), 681 nucleotides long. RefSeq lists it as uncharacterized. NCBI's taxonomy places the organism in Eukaryota, Metazoa, Arthropoda, Insecta, Hymenoptera, Apidae. The transcript has 4 exons. The record is from RefSeq and is a predicted model, not a curated record.